This 311-nucleotide ribosomal RNA is filed under the name uncultured bacterium. RNAcentral describes it as "bacterial SSU rRNA". It matches the Rfam family "Bacterial small subunit ribosomal RNA", at positions 471 to 781 of the family's 1533-position model. The record is from RNAcentral.
GACUGUACCCGGAGAAUAAGCCCCGGAAAAUUUCGUCCCCGCAGCCGCUAUAAUAAGAAGGGGGAGAGCUUUUUUUAGAAUUACUGGGUAUAAAGCGCAUGUAGGCGGAUUUAUAAGUCAGGGGUGAAAUCCCGGGGCUCAACCUGGGAACCGCGUUUGAUACUGCAGGUCUAGAGUCGGGGAGAGGUGAGUGGAAUUCCGAGUGUAGAGGUGAAAUUAGUAGAUAUGAGGAAGAACACCAGUGGAGAAGGCGGCUCACUGGUCCGGUACAGACGAUGAGGCGAGAAAGCGUGGGGAGCAAACAGGAUUAG